CCUCCUGCGCGGCCCGCGCUCCCCCGGGCCUGCCUGCGCCUCGGUCCCCAGUUCUGGCUCUUUCCUCUCACUUGGCCGCUCGGCCUGCCUCACUCCCGCUUGUUUGCUCUCCUCCGUUUCUCUCCUGUCUGUGUCUCUGUGCGUCUCUGCACCCUUCCGUGGGUUGAGUCUCUCCUUUUCUCGGUCUCUAGUUCUAGUUCUCCUUCCCUCCCUCUGACUCCCAGUUGCCUUCUGUCUCCACCGCAGCCCUCAUUCUCUCUCUCACUUCCCCUUGCUGUCCCCGGCACCCUGUCCCUCCGUCCAUGGUCCAUGGCUCCGGCCUCCUCCCCUCACACCCUGUAUCUCUCCUGUCCCUCCCUGGCGCUGCCCAUCUCGUGCUCACCGUCUCUCACCCUCCACCCCUGGCCAAGGCACCCCCAGGGCCAGCCAGGCCCCCUAGACCUGGCCUUGAUCUGCGCCUCAUGCCCCAGUCCCAUAAAAGGGGUUUACAAGUGGAGGGACUGCAGGACCAGUGCUCAGGGCUCAGACACAGAAGUCAGGAAAACGGAGAGAGGACAUGGCUCUGGCACCUGCCAGCUCACAGGGGCAGAGCUACAGAGUUUGAAAGCCAGUCUUUCAAACGGGGUCUCCCAGGAGGCCCUCAGCUGCCACAUGGUGCCUGGUGGCUGGCACUCUGAGAAUGGUCUCACCUCACUUUCCACUUUCCCACCUGACAAGGAAGGAAGGACCAGGGGCAUGUGCGCCAUGGGGCAGGCAGAGAAGGCUGGGCCUGCAGCCGCCCCACUUCCUUUACCCACGACGCCCUCCUCUUCCUGCCCUCCGUCCUGCCGGUUCCUACCCCUCAUCCCUGGGUCUGGCCAGGGCUUUGAUGGCCAGGGGUGCUCAGCUGCAGGAAAUUGGAGGCCUGCUUCCUGGUGCCCCAUCCACCCAGGCCCAGGGCUGCUCAGGGGACUGUCCGAUAGGACUCAUGUCCCUGCCUCCAUCUCCAGCUCAUCUUGCCACAUCCUGCAGCUCCCCCCACCGAGCCUUGAGGAUACUGCUCUGUGUCAGCUCAACUCAGACCUGCACGUGGCUGGUUCUGGGCACUGGGGACACAAACUCCCUGCCAAGCUGAACAGGCAGGCUCGGGAGCUGCCUCCGGCUAGGGACCUUUGGGGUCAGGUAAGGAUCCAGAGUCCAAGUUUUCCAAAAUAAAAGGGAUGUGAGCAGUGCUGUGUGGCCUUGGGCAAGGCACUCAUCCUCUCUGAGCCUCAGUUUCCUUAGUUGUAAAACAAGGACAGUCAUAAUAGCACACCUGCCGCUGGUGGGUUGAGAUUGGAGAAUACAGCAUAAGGUAACAUAGCAAGCGCUUCACAGGCACUUGGCAAACACUGGUUUCUCUCCCCUUGUGGAGAGAAAUGUCCCCUGCAGCCCAUGCUCGAGCUGGAGGGGGUGGAGGGUUGCAACAGACCAGGGCCCACUUCCUGGCCUGAGCCCCAUGGUGGCUAGCGGAGCCAGUGUCCACAGGGCUAAGUCCCGUGCCCAGCCGCGGCCCACAGGACCCUACGCCGUCCUUGCUGCCAGGCUGGGUCCUCAGGCCCAUUUCACAGACAAGGUGAGGACUCGAACCCAGGUCUUUCUCCAGAUCCUGUGCUUUCUUCCCUCUAUACAUUAUCUGGGACGCAACUGGGCCACGUGGGUCACGGUGGCAACCGCCACACACCCCUGGCUGGGCGGGGAGAUGCUGACAACUAGGGGUAGAAUGAACAAAUGAAGGAACAAAUAAUCCCACAGCUCCCUGGCCUUGCCACGAUUCGAUGGGGUGUGCUCCCAGACGGGAUUUUGGAGGGAACCAAGAGGAGAUGGGUGACAGCAAGGAGCAGGGGUGGGUGGGACCCGGUAUUAUAGCUCAGGAUCGGCCAACCAGCCUGGAACAUCAGCCACCCAUCUCACCAGAGCCCCGCCCUUUCCGUUUUCCUUCCCGUCUUCUGAUUUUAUCACAGAAAAGGUCUGGGUUUGGGGCUAACAUGUCCUUAAUGACUCUGUAACAUUUGUCAUUGUCCCUUUUUAAUAGAGAGAAGGUCGCAAGCUCCGUCUCAAGCUCGGGGCUGUUGGCAUCAGCAUUCUAGAACUUACCCAGCACUUCUUUCUUUUCUAUUUGCAGUUGCUUUCAGGUUUGACAAGUGGGACUGGUUUUCCAGUACAACAAAGGUGUGAAGCUCCCUCCAUCAGUGCAUUUAAUGAAGGCUUAAAAAUGUACAUUAAAGGCAAAUAUGAGAUAGGUCAUAAUCCAGGUGGUAUAAAAAUGCCCGGAAUUUGGGAAAGUUGGGAAGUGUUGAAGGUUUCCCAAAUUUCCAGGCAGGGGCAGGUCCUUGGUGCGAACGCCCAGUGGUCAGUGGCUAGGCGGGCCCAGGGAGGGUGGGCCUGGGCUCCCCACCCCGCCCCGUCCUGUCUCAGGCUCUGCUGCCCAGGCAGAGCUGGGAGGAGGAGGAGGAAAUGUUUUUCUUCUUCAAUUGGAAAAAACAACAGUGGGGCCAGGGCUGCACUGGGAGGAAGGGGCUCCUGCCCCCCCCAGCCUGGGCCUGGCCUCGAGCACGUUUGCCCUGCAGGAAAUGCUGCUGAUGGCUGCCUCCUUGAGCACUGCCUUAUCGCAAGGAAGGUGCUGGAAACAGCUUAGCAGGCCAGCCACCGGCCUGGUUAGUGCCAGGAGCUGUCACUGCAGCUCUGGGCUUGACCCUCAUUUCCCCUGGGAGCAACCCUGAGAGGCAGGUUUUGGAGUUGAGACACCUGAGUUCCUGGCCCAGCUCUGACCCUAUCCUUCUGCAUGACCACGUGGCACCACUGCUCCUUUAUGCCUCAGUUUCCAUAUCUGGAAAAGGGGAACAUACUCCAUCUCCUGGGGCUGCUGUGCUGGUGGAGACAGCCACGCGUCACAGUGCCGGCGCGUCAUGGAUGUGGUAGCUGCUGACCCUCCGGCUCUGGAACCGGGGGCUCCUCUCCCCAGACUCCCUGAGAGGAGCCAUGUGGGCUCCAGACUCGCUCAUCCGGACCCCAGGACAGCCCCCCCGCCAGGUACCCUGUCCCCUUCCCCCCCACACUGGAUCUCCUGUCACUGCCACCACAUCCCACUGGUGUGGCCCAAGGGGGGUGACCCUCCGGUGGCAGCGCUGGCAGGCGACAUGGCAGCCCCCACGCCAGUGUGCUCACGUUACGGACAGCUGGGCUGGAGCCACAGGUUCUCUGUUGCCGUUUCCCCACGGGCCGCGCCACACUACCGGCGUCGUGGAGCAAGGGGGUCCUCCCCCUUUGCAUUCUAGGGGCGUCCUUCUGGGCUCUGGGCGUUCCCACUGCCACCUCCCCUGGCUGCCACCCCGGGGGCGGCCUUCAGGGUCUGGUUUCAGGGCCAGGAGUAGCGGCCUGUGCUCGCCUGUGGGAGUCCAGCCCCUGGGUCGUUUCUGUCCUCUUUGUGUCCCUGUGUGCCUGGAGGAAAUGGUUCUCAUUCCUGCAUGUCAGCGAUGCCCUUUGCCGACUCCGCGGGUCCUUGCCCUCUGUGGUCAGCGGCCUGGCCGGCGGGGAGGGGACCGCAGUCCCGUGCACUCAUGGCGGGCGCCGCCCCCGCGCGGCGUGGCCCUUUGUGCUGUGUGGGCCGGAUAAUGGGCGGCAUUCCCAGACGGCCAGUCAUGGGUUGGGCCAAGAAAGGCCCCGGGCAGCUCCACACUGAGGCCUCUGUCCAGCAGCGGUGGCAGAGGGGCAGGGCGGCCCCACCCACAUUCCCCGCUGCCGCCCAGCCACGGCCGCCCAGCGCCCAGCGCCCAGCGGGCAGGGAGGCAGGCGCUCCCUGAGCACACAGCAGGUGCACCACAAUCGCGUCCCCAGUGACAGGGUGUCCUCAGUGACAGGAGCCGCAGGGAGGCAGGGCAAGUGCAGAGCUGAUGAGGACCAGCAUCGUGUGGUUGAGUACCUACUGUGCGCUAGAGCUUUGCUGGCUGGUCCUUACAAAAGCUACCCAGCGGCUGUGCUGUUGGCCCCAUUUGAUGGAUGAGUAAACUGAGGCUCAGAGAGGUGAGGCUCUGGUCCUGGAUUUGAACCCAUGUGUGUCUGGCCAUGUGUCUUGCAUCAGAUGUCGAGUGAGCACCGACUGCUUGUCCUGGGGGCGCAGCACUGAGUGCGACCUGAGGCGGCCGGGCUGAGGGGAUGGCCAGGGAGCCGCCAGCCCACCAGGCGGACGGGAGCCAGCAGGGCGGCUUCCUGGGGAAGUGUGGCCCGAGCGGCUUUGUGCAGCACACACCAUUAGUGUGUGUCCAGCAUUAGCCUUCACAAGGCAGGGGCUGUGAGGCCCAUGGACGAGGAGGAGACCGAGGCCCUCGGGCUGCCCAGGGCGGAGCUGGGAUUUUCACCCAGGCCUGGCUGUUCCCUUUGCUCCAGGGCUGGGGCCCAGUGAGGGGAGGUGGGACCCUGUGAAGUUGUCAUCCUGUGGUCCUGGGCCUGGGUUCCAAUGCCAGCCCUGUGCUGCCUGUGUGAACCAGAGUAAGUCCCUUUAUCUCUCUGGGCCUCAGUUUCCACACCUGUGAUAUGGGUAUGAGGGUCACUAUCUCUGCAGCUGUGGAGACAUUUAGCCAGCACCUGGUCCAUGGUUAAUACUCUAUCAGUGACAUUUAUUAUUAAAUCAUUGGUGGGAGAAGGUGUCGCUCCUCCCACCCUUCCUCCUG
This 4688-nucleotide long non-coding RNA is filed under the name Microcebus murinus (gray mouse lemur). Its description in RNAcentral is "lncRNA (ENSMICG00000048644.1)". The record is from RNAcentral. Lineage: Eukaryota; Metazoa; Chordata; Mammalia; Primates; Cheirogaleidae.